UUGUUAAUAAGAUCAAGUUGUUAAUGGGAGAAAACAACCUCGAAAUGGAGAGGAUGCUAUCCAAUAAAGGAGAAAGGUGGAAAAAGCAGUAUGAGGUUUUUGGAAAGCUGACAAACACAGGGAAUGUUAAAAUGCCUCCUCCACUUGAAACACUUCUUUGUUCAGGCUGUGCCUAUUUUGUGGUCAGUAGGGAGUAUGUGGGGUAUGUACUUCAGGAUUAAAAAAAUCCAAAAGUUUAUGGAGUGAGCACAAGACACAUACAGCCCUGAUGAGCAUCUCUGAGCCACCAUCCAGAGUAUUCCUGAAGUCCCCGGCUCACUCUCUACAAGCCAUAAGUAUGACUUGUCUGACACGCAUGCAGUCGCCAGGUUUGUCAAGUGGCAGUACUUGGAGGGUGAUGUUUCUGAGGAUGCUCCCUACCCACCCUACGAUGGGGACCACGUGCACUUGGUGUGCAUUUUCAGAGCUGGUGACUUGAAAUGGAUGCUGUGCAAGCACCACUUGUUUGCCAAUAAGCUUGACAUCGACGACCUCUUUGCCAUCCAAUGUUUGAAUGAUUAUCUGAGACAUGAAGCUUGGAGAUGUUAGAAGAUUG
This 595-nucleotide long non-coding RNA is filed under the name Homo sapiens (human). RNAcentral describes it as "non-protein coding lnc-CDH10-11:1". The record is from RNAcentral. Lineage: Eukaryota; Metazoa; Chordata; Mammalia; Primates; Hominidae.